Molecule: non-coding RNA, 83 nt
Organism: Paramuricea clavata
Lineage: Eukaryota; Metazoa; Cnidaria; Anthozoa; Malacalcyonacea; Plexauridae
Source: the annotation of a GenBank genome assembly
GCGGGCGAGGCAUUGUAUAGUUGUAUUAUUUUGUAGUUGUAUUAUUUAUAAGAAAUAAUACAACUAUACAAUGCCUCGCCCCC